GUAACUGACGUUAAUUAAAGGCCACAUGGCAUCGUUCUAACGCAGAAAGAAAUUGUAUACUCUUUUACUCUCGCAUAUAUACAUUUUCGUCAUCAGUUACUUAAAACAAUGCUUUUAUCUAAAAACUGAUUGCCCACUGUGUUCCAGCGCUAUCUAGUGUUGCAAACUGGAAUUAUGUGAUGCGUUCCUCGUGAACGCGCUAUUGAUUUUUUGGUGUCCUGUGCUGCCACCGGUGUGGAUCCCAAAAAGGCAGAAAGCGUUAUUUCUUAUUGUUGCCUAUAUAGUGAAGACUAUAAAGACGCAGUUCUAAUAACGAUACCAAAAAUUUCGAGGUCCCGUAACAUGAGUGGGUGUAAAAGUAAUUACAAGUCACAAGAAGGAAACAGUUCAUUUUUCUAUACUCAGCGGUGAAACACUAAAGGUAAAGGGUAAAGGGUAAAGGGCUGAGAAAAAUUCCUACGCAAUUCUUAGAUUUAAAGGAGCUUACAUGCAUAAAGCAUUUUAAUGAUGAGUGCAUAGUAAAAACAGAACUGAUUACACUUUAUGGAGAAAUGUAGAUACCUGCAAGAAGUUAUCCAAAGUCGAAACCAGAUGCAGGGCCAUCAAUUUUCCCUGAUUUGCGACGAUACUUGACAACAGCUGGACCGCCAUGCAGAAGAUUAUGUGAUGCAGAAAGUGAUAACUUUGAAACAUAUAUAUAGUGAUGUCAUACCCAACACUGUUGGAUUAGCAGCUAUUAAGACCAAUCUGUCAUCUUUGCCAAUACUAUAAAAUUCCUCGGCAUAAAGCGCCCAACAAAUAUAUGUCAAUUAAAUCCGAACAUGUGUUUGAUAAUCUAAUUAAACUGACUCAACAGUUCUUAAAGAAGACAAAACAAGUUUUGUGGUUCUGGACAUAGUGGCUAUGUUAGAGGAGGGUUUUUUGGAUGACAGAUGUUCACAGCUGCAAUUAAUAAUUGAACAAAUUCAGUUUCUUAUUAAAAAAAAAAAAGUCACAGGUACACUGAAUAUUUUAAUGUAAUUUUCAAUAAAUAAACAUGUAAAUGCCA
Molecule: long non-coding RNA, 1048 nt
Organism: Schistocerca nitens (vagrant locust)
Lineage: Eukaryota; Metazoa; Arthropoda; Insecta; Orthoptera; Acrididae
Exons: 2
Source: RefSeq, a predicted model, not a curated record